RNAcentral lists this ribosomal RNA (437 nucleotides) under uncultured bacterium. Its description in RNAcentral is "partial 16S ribosomal RNA". It matches the Rfam family "Bacterial small subunit ribosomal RNA", at positions 356 to 783 of the family's 1533-position model. The record is from RNAcentral.
UGGGAAUUUUGGACAAUGGGCGCAAGCCUGAUCCAGCCAUGCCGCGUGCGGGAAGAAGGCCUUCGGGUUGUAAACCGCUUUUGUCAGGGAAGAAAUCUUCUGAGUUAAUACCUCGGGAGGAUGACGGUACCUGAAGAAUAAGCACCGGCUAACUACGUGCCAGCAGCCGCGGUAAUACGUAGGGUGCAAGCGUUAAUCGGAAUUACUGGGCGUAAAGCGUGCGCAGGCGGUUUUGUAAGACAGAGGUGAAAUCCCCGGGNUCAACCUGGGAACUGCCUUUGUGACUGCAAGGCUUGAGUGCGGCAGAGGGGGGAUGGAAUUCCGCGUGUAGCAGUGAAAUGCGUAGAUAUGCGGAGGAACACCGAUGGCGAAGGCAAUCCCCUGGGCCUGCACUGACGCUCAUGCACGAAAGCGUGGGGAGCAAAACAGGAUUAGAU